AGAGUUUGAUCMUGGCUCAGAAUGAACGCUGGCGGCGUGCUUAACACAUGCAAGUCGUACGAGAACUCCUUAGCUUGCUAAGGAAAGUAAAGUGGCGUACGGGUGAGUAACGCGUGGGUAAUCUACCCCAUAAUUUGGGAUAACAUUGCGAAAGCGAUGCUAAUACCGAAUAAUAUCUGAUAACUACGGUUAUUCAGAUCAAAGGUGGCCUCUAUAUAUAAGCUACUGUUUUGGGAUGAGCCCGCGUACCAUUAGCUUGUUGGUAGGGUAAUGGCCUACCAAGGCUACGAUGGUUAGCUGGUCUGAGAGGAUGAUCAGCCACACUGGAACUGGCACACGGUCCAGACUCCUACGGGAGGCAGCAGUGGGGAAUUUUGCGCAAUGGGGGAAACCCUGACGCAGCAACGCCGCGUGAGUGAUGAAGGCUCUUGGGUCGUAAAGCUCUGUUAAGUGGGAAGAACCAAAAAAUGUAAAUAUCAUUUUUUCUGACGGUACCACUAGAGGAAGCACCGGCUAACUCCGUGCCAGCAGCCGCGGUAAUA
Molecule: ribosomal RNA, 542 nt
Filed under: uncultured bacterium
Lineage: Bacteria
Description: bacterial SSU rRNA
Rfam family: Bacterial small subunit ribosomal RNA
Source: RNAcentral